UACAGAGAGUGCGAGCGUUGUUCGGAAUUACUGGGCGUAAAGCGCGCGCAGGCGGCCUUUUAAGUCUGACGGUGAAAUGCCGGAGCUCAACCCCGUACCCACCGCGGAUACUGAGAGGCUGGAGACGAGUAGAGGCAAGCGGAAUUCCGGGUGUAGCGGUGGAAUGCGUAGAGAUCGGCAGGAACACCCAGGGGGAAACCAGUGGACUGGGCAGGAGCUGACGCUCAGGUGCGAAAGCGUGGGGAGCGAACCGG
Molecule: ribosomal RNA, 254 nt
Filed under: uncultured bacterium
Lineage: Bacteria
Description: partial 16S ribosomal RNA
Rfam family: Bacterial small subunit ribosomal RNA
Source: RNAcentral